This 1162-nucleotide long non-coding RNA is filed under the name Homo sapiens (human). RNAcentral's name for it is "HSALNT0356988". Lineage: Eukaryota; Metazoa; Chordata; Mammalia; Primates; Hominidae. The record is from RNAcentral.
CGCGUGAACCCGGGGGGCGGAGCUUGCAGUGAGCCGAGAUCGCGCCACUGCACUCCAGCCUGGGUGACAGAGCAAGACUCCGUCUCAAAAAAAACCCCAAAAAACCUGUGGCUUCUGCCUUGUCUUCUGUCCCUGGGAUUACUCCCUCUGGGAGAAAGCAGGUGUCAUGUCAAGGGGACACCCAAACAGCUCUGUGGAGAGUUCAGUGCCAUGAGGAACUAAGAUCUCCUCCCACAGCCGUGCAGCCGUGUCGGGAACUUGAGGGUGAAUCCCCAAGCACAGUGAAAUCUUCGGAUGACAGCAGCCCCAGCAGCAUCUUGAUUGCCGCCUCGUGAGUGAUCCUAAAACAGAAACUUUCAGCUAAUUUGCCUCCUCAUUUCUGACCCACACAAACUGAGAUUCAAAAACGUGUUGCUUGUGUUAAGCCCUCAAGUUCUGGGGUAAUUUGUUACACAACAAUAGGAGAGGAAACUACAUAUAUAUUUGAGAUGUCAGCUUUUCUUUCUGGUUUCUACCAGCCCCAUUAAGGUUUCAAACCUUUUAGAUCCAAGUCUUGGCCUGAGCUAGGGCUCUGGGAGUGAGGAACUGCCUAUCUCCCCGGUGGGGAGGAAGCUUCUCCAAGCACCGCGCAUUGUCAGAGUGGGCAUGGGGCCUGAGCAUGUCCUGUGCCAUGCAUAGCUCUGGGGGACACUCUGUCUGCCCCUGAAUUGCCUCACUGUUACAGUUAAGAAGAUGAACCUCGUCAGGGGCUAUUACCAGUGCUGCCUUUUGUUCCAAACCACUGCAGAGGAACAAAAAAAAAACAAACAAAAAACUGCACUAGUUUUAAAAAUUGGAAGUGGCAAAAUAGGAGAUGUAGGCUUGAUGUAGAUAUUAAGUAAUUAUUCUAAAUUAGUGAAAACUGACAACUGAACAACACUGAUUAUGAAACAAAGAUUUUGGACCGCCCACCCUGAAUAAUGAAGAGUUAUGUCAAGCAAAAUUGAUAUGAAACGAUGUGUAGUGAUUUCAAGUUGACCCCCCUUCCACUGUUGAUAAGUACUCGGUCACUUCGAUAGUUUUAUUUCUAUUUUUUUCUUAAGAAGGCUUAUUCUAAAGGUCCUCUUUUCACUAUCAUUGUAAAAAAUAAAAUAAUAAUUUUAAUUAUUUGACUUGGAAAUAG